This is a small nucleolar RNA of Molossus molossus (Pallas's mastiff bat), 140 nucleotides long. The record is from RefSeq and is a predicted model, not a curated record. NCBI's taxonomy places the organism in Eukaryota, Metazoa, Chordata, Mammalia, Chiroptera, Molossidae.
AACCUCCCAGCAUCACGUCCGGAGAGUGGCUAAUAUUCUGCCAGCUUCGGGGACGGGAGGGAAAGCAAGCCGGGUAGAGAGACCCAUUCCAUUCCCCUCUUGCUUAGUAACUGGUGACUGGAAGACACUCUGCAACGAUG